Molecule: non-coding RNA, 396 nt
Organism: Dicentrarchus labrax (European seabass)
Lineage: Eukaryota; Metazoa; Chordata; Actinopteri; Moronidae
Source: the annotation of a RefSeq genome assembly
UUUUUGUACGGCGGCUCAAUGAGUUUGUAUCACUGUGGUACACGUUCGGUGGAGGAACCAGACUGGAUGUUGGAUGUGAUGUCCGUCCCACCCUGACGGUGCUGCCCCCCUCCAGUGAGGAGCUGCAGCAGGGGAAGGCCACGCUCAUGUGUCUGGCCAACAAGGGCUUCCCCUCAGACUGGAGUCUGUCCUGGAAGGUGGACGGCAGCAGCAGCAGCAGCAGCUGGGAGGAGAGCAGGAGCCCCGGGGUGCUGAAGGACGGCCACUACAGCUGGAGCAGCACCCUGAGGCUCUCUGCAGACCACUGGAGGAAGGUGGGCUCUGUGACCUGUGAGGCCACCCAGGGCUCCCAGACUCCGCUCUCAGAGACACUGAGGAGAGACCAGUGUUCCUAGU